UCCGAAUUGGUGUAGUGGCUAACAUUUGACGCUCUCAUGAUUUCGAUAAAUCUUGGAUCCGUCAAGCCCGGGGUUCGAUUCCCCGAUUCGGAG
RNAcentral lists this transfer RNA (93 nucleotides) under Annulohypoxylon nitens. Its description in RNAcentral is "tRNA-Glu". It matches the Rfam family "tRNA". Rfam says of the family: Transfer RNA (tRNA) molecules are approximately 80 nucleotides in length. Lineage: Eukaryota; Fungi; Ascomycota; Sordariomycetes; Xylariales; Hypoxylaceae. The record is from RNAcentral.